Molecule: long non-coding RNA, 214 nt
Filed under: Lathyrus oleraceus (garden pea)
Lineage: Eukaryota; Viridiplantae; Streptophyta; Magnoliopsida; Fabales; Fabaceae
Description: Pisum sativum (pea) long non-coding RNA (PSAT_LNC011942)
Source: RNAcentral
AGAGUACUGUUCAUCUUCAUAAUCUUCAUCUUCAUCCUCCUGGCUGAAAGGCUCAGCAUUCUCAUCUUCUGAAUCUCUCCCCUCUUCUUGAUCCUUCGGAAUUCUAAUCUUGACUCCUGCAGCCUGUCCUUUAAGCCUUCUUCCCGGAUUAAUGUAACUCACAGGUUUCUUGUCUUUUUUCUUCUCGAGCAAGAGAGCCUUCAGUUCCUCCUGC